AGACCCGAAACCCGGUGAUCUAGCCAUGGGCAGGUUGAAGGUUGGGUAACACUAACUGGAGGACCGAACCGACUAAUGUUGAAAAAUUAGCGGAUGACCUGUGGCUGGGGGUGAAAGGCCAAUCAAACCGGGAGAUAGCUGGUUCUCCCCGAAAGCUAUUUAGGUAGCGCCUCGUGAAUUCAUCUCCGGGGGUAGAGCACUGUUUCGGCUAGGGGGCCAUCCCGGCUUACCAACCCGAUGCAAACUGCGAAUACCGGAGAAUGUUAUCACGGGAGACACACGGCGGGUGCUAACGUCCGUCGUGAAGAGGGAAACAACCCAGACCGCCAGCUAAGGUCCCAAAGUCAUGGUUAAGUGGGAAACGAUGUGGGAAGGCCCAGACAGCCAGGAUGUUGGCUUAGAAGCAGCCAUCAUUUAAAGAAAGCGUAAUAGCUCACUGGUCGAGUCGGCCUGCGCGGAAGAUGUAACGGGGCUAAACCAUGCACCGAAGCUGCGGCAGCGACACUCAGGUGUUGUUGGGUAGGGGAGCGUUCUGUAAGCCUGCGAAGGUGGCCUGUGAGGGUUGCUGGAGGUAUCAGAAGUGCGAAUGCUGACAUAAGUAACGAUAAAGCGGGUGAAAAGCCCGCUCGCCGGAAGACCAAGGGUUCCUGUCCAACGUUAAUCGGGGCAGGGUGAGUCGACCCCUAAGGCGAGGCCGAAAGGCGUAGUCGAUGGGAAACGGGUUAAUAUUCCCGUACUUGGUGUUACUGCGAAGGGGGGACGGAGAAGGCUAUGUUGGCCGGGCGACGGUUGUCCCGGUUUAAGCGUGUAGGUGUGUGUUCCAGGUAAAUCCGGUUCACUUUAACACUGAGGCGUGAUGACGAGGCACUACGGUGCUGAAGCAACAAAUGCCCUGCUUCCAGGAAAAGCCUCUAAGCAUCAGGUAACAUCAAAUCGUACCCCAAACCGACACAGGUGGUCAGGUAGAGAAUACCAAGGCGCUUGAGAGAACUCGGGUGAAGGAACUAGGC
Molecule: ribosomal RNA, 1010 nt
Filed under: Salmonella enterica
Lineage: Bacteria; Pseudomonadati; Pseudomonadota; Gammaproteobacteria; Enterobacterales; Enterobacteriaceae
Description: partial 23S ribosomal RNA
Rfam family: Bacterial large subunit ribosomal RNA
Source: RNAcentral